AAAAAGGGUCGGUUGGCUAAAUAUGCCACUCCCGCCCUAGUUAGGUGGGUGCUGUAUGGCUAUCAAGACAUAUGGCCGACAUAAUUUGUGGAAUUUUAAUAGGGUUGGCUCGCUUUGGCCGACCCUCCA
Molecule: small nuclear RNA, 129 nt
Organism: Rhododendron vialii
Lineage: Eukaryota; Viridiplantae; Streptophyta; Magnoliopsida; Ericales; Ericaceae
Product: U11 spliceosomal RNA
Exons: 1
Source: RefSeq, a predicted model, not a curated record